GACUAACGCUGGCGGCGUGCCUAACACAUGCAAGUCGAACGCAUCUGUGCUUCGGUACAGAUGAGUGGCGAACGGGUGAGUAACACGUGAGUAACUCCCCUGGGGGAGGGGGAUAACCAUCUGAAAAGGUGGCUAAUACCCCAUAUUCUCUUUUCUCAUAAGAGGAAAGAGGAAAGAUGGCGUAAGCUAUCACCCCGAGAGAGGCUCGCGUCCCAUCAGCUAGUUGGUAAGGUAAGAGCUUACCAAGGCUAUGACGGGUAGCUGGUCUGAGAGGAUGGUCAGCCACACUGGGACUGAGACACGGCCCAGACUCCUACGGGAGGCAGCAGUGGGGAAUCUUGGACAAUGGGCGAAAGCCUGAUCCAGCGACGCCGCGUGGAGGAAGAAGUCCUUCGGGAUGUAAACUUCUGAACUAGCCGAAUAAAAGGCCUGUGGACACACAGGAGAAGAAAGUAGGCUAGGAAAAGUCCCGGCUAACUACGUG
This 484-nucleotide ribosomal RNA is filed under the name uncultured bacterium. Its description in RNAcentral is "bacterial SSU rRNA". It matches the Rfam family "Bacterial small subunit ribosomal RNA", at positions 28 to 507 of the family's 1533-position model. The record is from RNAcentral.